GAGAAGGAAGCUUCAUGAAGGGAGAAGUUUAGAGGAUCCUGGAAGUGACACCGAGAGCAGUCUAUGAUGGAUAGAGCAGGGGUUGGGGAGAGGGAAAUGCAUGGUGUUUAGCGUAACCAGAUGGUGAUUUUGCUACACACCAAGGAAGGAAACCCUGGAAGAGAUGCAAGUUUGGAAAAGGUCAAGAGCGAAUCUGGGAGGCAACUGAUUAUUCUGGAAAAACAUAUUGAAUUGACUUUCCAAAUACUUUCUUACCAUACAUGGAUUUUUUUUUUUUUUUUUUGGAUGAGAAAUCUUAACACCAUUUCUUUCCAGUUGUAGGAUCUUUAGCAAAAGCUUAACUCAUUGAACCUAAAUCCUUCAUCUGGAAAGUGGGGUAGGGGAGAAGUCAAGGAUGUAAUAUUUUGUAUAAAAUACAUAAUGUCUGACACAUAAUGGGUGCUUAAUAAAUCCUUUCCCUUUGUCUUAAAAAAAAAAAUUCAUCAUACCAUUUCAGCCAUGUGAUCAAGUUCAACACCAACAGUGAUAAGUUAUGUUGAUAACAAGUAUCCUGGACGUGAUAUGAUGAGAACCCACAUUACCUAGAUGGUCUUCCUCCCUAGGAUUCAUAACUCUGAUCUAAUCAUGAGGAAAAAAUAAUUCUCAAGAUAGGGAUAGUCUUCAAAGCUGUCAAGAAUAUCAAAAACAAGGAAAGACUAAGAAACUGUCAUAGCCAAGAGGAGCCUAAGGAGAUAUGACUACUAAAUGUAAUGUGGCAUCCUGGAUGGGAUCCUAAAACAGAAAAGAACAUUAGGUAAAAAACUAAAGAACUUUGAAAACAUUCUAGACUUGAGUUAAUAUCACUAUUGGUGCAUUAAUUAUGAAAAUUUUCCUUACUAAUGCGAGAUGUUAAACAUAGGAGUAACUGGGUAAGGAAGUGUAUGGUAACUAUCAUUUUUGUGAAUUUCU
RNAcentral lists this long non-coding RNA (948 nucleotides) under Marmota monax (woodchuck). The record is from RNAcentral. Lineage: Eukaryota; Metazoa; Chordata; Mammalia; Rodentia; Sciuridae.